GGAAUUGACGGGGAGCACCACAACGGGUGGAGCCUGCGGUUUAAUGGAUUCAACGCCGGAAAUCUUACCGGGACCGACAGCAAUAUGAAGGCCAGGCUGAAGACUUUGCCGGAUUAGCUGAGAGGUGGUGCAUGGCCGUCGUCAGUUCGUACUGUGAAGCAUCCUGUUAAGUCAGGCAACGAGCGAGACCCACGCCCACAGUUGCCAGCGUACUCUCUGGAGUGACGGGUACACUGUGGGGACCGCCGUUGCUAAAGCGGAGGAAGGAAUGGGCAACGGUAGGUCAGUAUGCCCCGAAUAUCCCGGGCUACACGCGAGCUACAAUGGUUGGUACAAUGGGUAUCUACCCCGAAAGGGGACGGGAAUCUCCUAAAACCAAUCUUAGUUCGGAUUGAGGGCUGCAACUCGCCCUCAUGAAGCUGGAAUCCGUAGUAAUCGCGUUUCAACAGAACGCGGUGAAUACGUCCCUGCUCCUU
This 476-nucleotide ribosomal RNA is filed under the name uncultured Methanosaeta sp. RNAcentral's name for it is "bacterial SSU rRNA". It matches the Rfam family "Archaeal small subunit ribosomal RNA", at positions 861 to 1338 of the family's 1478-position model. Lineage: Archaea; Methanobacteriati; Methanobacteriota; Methanomicrobia; Methanotrichales; Methanotrichaceae. The record is from RNAcentral.